GAUGAACGCUGGCUACAGGCUUAACACAUGCAAGUCGAGGGGAAACGACGGGGAAGCUUGCUUCCCCGGGCGUCGACCGGCGCACGGGUGAGUAACGCGUAUCCAACCUGCCUCUGACUGAGGGAUAACCCGUCGAAAGUCGGCCUAAUACCUCAUGGCAUCGUCUGCGGGCAUCCAACGACGAUUAAAGAUUUCAUCGGUCAGGGAUGGGGAUGCGUCUGAUUAGCUUGUUGGCGGGGUAACGGCCCACCAAGGCUACGAUCAGUAGGGGUUCUGAGAGGAAGGUCCCCCACAUUGGAACUGAGACACGGUCCAAACUCCUACGGGAGGCAGCAGUGAGGAAUAUUGGUCAAUGGGCGAGAGCCUGAACCAGCCAAGUAGCGUGCAGGAUGACGGCCCUAUGGGUUGUAAACUGCUUUUAUGCGGGGAUAAAGUGAGGGACGUGUCCUUCAUUGCAGGUACCGCAUGAAUAAGGACCGGCUAAUUCCGUGCCAGCAGCCGCGGUAAUACGGAAGGUCCGGGCGUUAUCCGGAUUUAUUGGGUUUAAAGGGAGCGUAGGCCGUGGAUUAAGCGUGUUGUGAAAUGCAGGUGCCCAACGUCUGCACUGCAGCGCGAACUGGUCCACUUGAGUGUGCACAACGCAGGCGGAAUUCGUCGUGUAGCGGUGAAACGCUAGAUAUGACGAAGAACUCCGAUUGCGAAGGCAGCUUGCGGGAGCACAACUGACGCUGAAGCUCGAAAGUGCGGGUAUCGAACAGG
Molecule: ribosomal RNA, 759 nt
Filed under: uncultured Prevotella sp.
Lineage: Bacteria; Pseudomonadati; Bacteroidota; Bacteroidia; Bacteroidales; Prevotellaceae
Description: bacterial SSU rRNA
Rfam family: Bacterial small subunit ribosomal RNA
Source: RNAcentral